GACGAACGCUGGCGGCACGCUUAACACAUGCAAGUCGAACGAGAGAAGAGAAGCUUGCUUUUCUGAUCUAGUGGCGGACGGGUGAGUAACACGUGAGCAAUCUGCCUUUCAGAGGGGGAUACCGAUUGGAAACGAUCGUUAAUACCGCAUAACAUAAUUGAACCGCAUGAUUUGAUUAUCAAAGAUUUAUCGCUGAAAGAUGAGCUCGCGUCUGAUUAGCUAGUUGGUAAGGUAACGGCUUACCAAGGCGACGACCAGUAGCCGGACUGAGAGGUUGAUCGGCCACAUUGGGACUGAGACACGGCCCAGACUCCUACGGGAGGCAGCAGUGGGGAAUAUUGCACAAUGGAGGAAACUCUGAUGCAGCGAUGCCGCGUGAGGGAAGAAGGUUUUAGGAUUGUAAACCUCUGUCUUCAGGGACGAAAAAAGACGGUACCUGAGGAGGAAGCUCCGGCUAACUACGUG
Molecule: ribosomal RNA, 465 nt
Filed under: uncultured bacterium
Lineage: Bacteria
Description: partial 16S ribosomal RNA
Rfam family: Bacterial small subunit ribosomal RNA
Source: RNAcentral